GUCCCCGGCGUCCGGGCGCCCUGCAUGGAUCCCCCACCCCAGCUCCUGCUCCCCGGCGGCGGCCGGUGGGCAGAAAGACCGAAACCCACUCACGGCCGCCUGCCGAAUCGCGGCUCUGCUGUUUGUGGGGCGUGCUAGAAACGUGGUCCUAAAAAGAAUGGCGUCCAUUUACAUAAUGCUUUGUUUGCGUUUCGCAAGUUUCUUUCGGUUAAAGCCACAGAAACCCCACCUCCUGCCCUUGUGUCGUUUCCACCGCGGCACCCUUUUCCGACAUUAGAAACAAUAGUGUACGCCUGUGGAGGCCUCGUUUGUUCAGGGGCUGCCGGCCAGGGCUUCAGGACGUUUCUGCGGCUUUCCCCGCGCGGCCUGGGCUCCCGCGGCUGCUUUUCGGGCCCAUGGGCGCAGCCACUGCGCCAGGCUCAAGGGGGGCGGCCCCGUCAGGGCCCGCCAUCUUGGAAGGCCUUUUUUGCCGGUUCUUCCCGCUGAGGAAGUGUCGCUCAAGACGCUGGCCUAUGAGUUGUGAUUUCUGCCUUUUCCCCUUCCUCCUUGGGCUAAGCCAGACCAGAAAGGGCCCCGUGCGCAACGUGCUUCACAAUCUCUCAGGGAAAGCGGCUAACGUGGCGCUACUCCGCCUCCCCUGUUCCUUACCCUUGGGGCGGCCGCCAUGUUUCCUGAACACAAAAUGGCGACACGUGGUUAGCAUUCGUCGCCAACGAGAAAUUGGGGUCGGCCCGAAAGCUCUAGAAUGCACCCCUCUUCCUCCCCGGGGCCUUCCACCUCCGCGAGUUUUAUGACUUAAAAAAGCCCACAGGCUGGUCUGAAGGUCGGAGGCCUAAUUUUAACGCGUUUUCCUCCCUUUAAUUUGAAACGGGAACGCGAAUGACUGUAAAAUGUGGGCACAAUAUUUAAUCUCUCGCCUUUUUAAAGCUUAAUAGUGGAUAAUAGGGGGGCAGUAUCAAGGGAUAAUUUGGGUCCCCACAGUACCAAAGCAUUUAGAAACCUCUGUUUAAUUUAAGGAAUGAGAUAAGUUACUGCUUUUCUAGACUUCCUAGCAUGGGCUGUUGUGCUGGAGAGAACGAGAGCUACGAAGAGACUACAGUGCCUCUGACUUUUUCAUAGGACAGUUGGCCGGUGAAUCUUAUUAAUAGUUUACCACAAUUAAGUGUUCAUUUUUAGUCUAGAAGGGACAGGCGUUUAUUGUGCAUUGGCCAGUGCCAGCACAUCCGAUGCAAGGCAGUUCACCGUAUUCUAUCUUUAAUUUUUACCAUGGUCCUCUGAGGUAGGUGUUCUUAUCUCUCUCUCUCUCUCUCUCUUUUAAACAGAGGAAGACAAACAUAAAGAUGAAGUGCUUAAUUCAAGGUCACACAAUGUCGGGGAUGGACCUCCAGAUUUCCUUACUGACCUGCAUUAUCUUGUGGAUACCUGAGUGAAUUCCACACCACCCAUUUUAUAGAUGAAACCACUGAGACAUGGAGCAAUUGACUGAGUAGUCACUGCCCCACCCCUGCCUGGAGCCUCACACAUGACUCGCCUCCUCUCAGUGACCACAGGAAAACAAGCUCAGGGCUCCCACUGAUUGUACAUUAUGAGACGGAGUCUUGCUAUGUUGCCCAGGCUGGUCUUGAACUCCUCACCUCAAGCGAUCCUCCCGUCUUGGCCUCCCAAGUGUCAGGAUUACGGGCAUGUGCUAUCACACCCAACCUGAUACAUUGCCUUUAUAAAUUUUUUUUUCUUUAUUCUAAAAACCAGAAAAAACAAAACUGGAUACAUGUGCAGAACAUGCAGACCAAGUGUGUUGGGGACUUGAGAUGCGUACAUGAGUGUGAUGUUUCCUGCUGAAAGCACAGGUGAGACGUGGUCUUGUAACACAGUGGUUAAGAAUGUGACUUUGGAGCCAGCCUGCUAGGGGCUGAAUUCUGACUCAGCCAUUUACUAACUGUGUGACCUUAGGGAGGAGGACCUGGUUGAUAGAAGAAUUUAUCUCGUAGUCUUAACAUCCACUGUAAUUCCAAACUUUGAGGACGAUAGAGAUCAGUGGGCUUUGACUGCCCAGCAUGCAGUCUCCAUUCUUAGGUGGGUUCCCAAGCCUGUAAAAUGUAAGCCUUAUGCUGCUGAGGGCCAUCUUGCCACCCUGAGGGAAACGCUGCCUGAGAAUGAAACAAGCAUAAGUAAAAGCUGAGCUGUGAGAUGGAGCAAGAUGAAGGCCACAUGACAUCUUUGGAGCACCUGGAUCUAACUGUGCCUUAAGCUAGUCUAACCCUGAACAUUUCAUCAUUUCAUUGACAUGAGCCCAGGUUUUCUUUUUUUUUGGAUGGAGUCUUGCUCUGUCGCCCAGGCUGGAGUGCAGUAGCUCAAUCUCGGCUCACUGCAAGCUCCACCUCCCGGGUUCACGCCAUUCUCCUGCCUUAGCCUCCCAAGUAGCUGGGACAACAGGCGCCCACCACCACUCCCAGCUAAUUUUUUGUAUUUUUAGUAGAGACGGGGUUUUACCAUGUUAGCCGGGAUGGUCUUGAUCUCCUGACCUCAUGAUCCGCCCGCCUCGGCCUCCCAAAGUGCUGGGAUUACAGGUGUGAGCCACUGCACCCAGCCCUCAGGUUUUCCCUUUUUUUACCCCUCCUUUUGAAAAUUUGAUGUGGAAUUUUGCCACCUGCAGCCAGAAGAGUUUUAACUAAUCAGUGCCAUAAAUUUUAUAUAGUUCUCCUUGCAAAAUGUGGAUCAGCCUUUCUCAGCAAAUCCUUUGUCAUAAAGUGCUGAAUUGUAAGUUUGUCAUGAGAAUCACAUGAGAUCAUGCAUGUGAAGAACCUGGCAUUAUCCUCCUCAUAGAAAAAAACCAGUAAAUAUUAACUACAGGAAGCAAGGAAGGAGUGGGGUGAGGGGAAGAAGAAGGGGUACUGAUUUAAAAGAACCCUGGAGUCCUAAGGAUAAUCUAGGAACCCUCAGACCCAAUCCGAUACCCCUAUUCUAAAUGCUCCUAGUGCCCUGUACCUUCCCCUCAUAAGCCUUCAUUAUCAUUGUAAUGAUAUGUUUAUGUAAUAUUUUGAUUAAUGUCUCUCCUUCACUGACCUAGCAGUUCUAGCAGGGCAGUGAUUUUGCUGUGUUGCAUCCCCAGCACCUAGUCUGGUAUGUGGCAUUCAGCAUAUGUUUAUUGAAUGAAUGGCCAUGUGGUUAUUCAGAUCCUCCUUGAUUAUUGGGGUUAGGAUUGUGGCAGAAGUGGCAAAAUCAGGGAGAGUAGUCCCUGUCCCCUCUGUAUCUUAUACACUGCCCACACUCCCAACACACAUACACAUACAGAGAAUUUUGUCUCAAUUAGAUAAUUAACUUCUGCUUGGUUGUAAACCAAACCACUGGUUCUUAAACUUUCAUUGGAUCAUUUUAUUGAAGAAUUAAAUAGUGUGGUUCUGGCCUAAUGUCUGGAAAGCCUUGCAGAGGAGUGGAUUAGGUCUUUGUGAUAAACAGGCAGCCUUCCCUGCUCCUGUGUCUUUAUAAAAUCUAUUUAACUGGAGUAGUCCACCCUCCCUCAGGCUCUUACAGGAAUAUGUUGGAGGCUGUAGGAAGGUGGGAAACCGAGAGGGAAAGGACUGGGCCGCUGGAGACUUCACUCAUUCCCUAGCAAGAAACAAAAGCAGUAAAAGGUGGCCCGAGGACAACCUGAAGCUCACUCCUUCAGCACUUUUGGCUGGAGGUCACUUGUUGGAGCCCCACUCAGAGCUCAGCACACCACCCCACCAGCAGCCUCCUCCUCCCAGCUGAGGCUGCAUUUCAUCCCUUCCCCCAGCCUGCUUUCCCUGAGAUAGGGGAGUGUUUCCCAGGGCCCAUGUGACUUCCACUGGCAAGUGACGAUUACCAAUGGUUUACUAGUCAGUGAAACUACCAAAGGCUUUUGUGCUGUAGUAAUCCUUUUCCUGUUUAAAACUCUGGGGAUUUUCUAAUGUUGCCAAUAGUUUUUCAAGUCAGCAAUUACUGUGUGGAUUAUGUAAUGGCUCGGUAUUAAAAAUAGAAAAGACUGGA
This 4008-nucleotide long non-coding RNA is filed under the name Homo sapiens (human). RNAcentral's name for it is "PCBP1 antisense RNA 1, transcript variant 18 (PCBP1-AS1)". Lineage: Eukaryota; Metazoa; Chordata; Mammalia; Primates; Hominidae. The record is from RNAcentral.